Molecule: RNA transcript, 19024 nt
Organism: Myxocyprinus asiaticus (Chinese sucker)
Lineage: Eukaryota; Metazoa; Chordata; Actinopteri; Cypriniformes; Catostomidae
Gene: heatr1
Gene name: HEAT repeat containing 1
Exons: 48
Source: RefSeq, a predicted model, not a curated record
CGAAAGCAAAACAGAGAGGAAACUCACUUAUUCGCACGUGGAAUCUGGUGUGAUAAACUCUUCUAAAGAUGACAUCAUUAGCACAUCAGUUGAAGAAGCUGGCCCUGCCGCAGAAUGACCCUAAUCUGCUCAGCCUAAAGGAGGUCGCCUCUGUGCUCUUUGACCCUAAAGAUGCUGCCAGCAUGGACAGAAGCACCUUCUAUGCACUAGGCUGCACGGGUCUUGAGGAGCUGAUGGGUAUUGAUCCAGCAUUCAGUGAGUUUCAGGAAACUCUUUUCAGUCAAGCAUCUUUGACUUUAGAGCGCAGCGUUCAGUCCAAAGAGGUCAACAAGAAACUGGACAAGACAAUAUCUCUCUUUCUCACGCGACUGUCACCUUACUUUCUGCUCAAGCCUGCUUUGAAGUGCAUUGAAUGGCUAGUUCACAGAUUCCACAUUCAGCUGUAUAACCAAGACAGCCUGAUUGCUUGUGUUUUACCAUAUCAUGAGACUAAAGUGUUUGUGCGAGUGAUUCAGCUUUUAAAGAUCGAAGAACCGACCCACAAAUGGCACUGGUUGCAUGGACUUCAGAAACCUGGUGUACCUCUGGCUCGAGGAACUCUGCUCACUCACUGCUAUAAGGAUUUAAGCUUCAUGGAUUUCAUCUGUACUUUGGUCACGAAAUCAGUGAAGGCAUACUCUGGAUAUUUUCGUGAUGGGAACUGUCCACAGAUGAGGGUGAUUUUCUCAUUCUAUGCCUCUACCAUUGUUCCUGCACUUGAAGCAGUGGAGAAGAUAACUAAUCCUAUUAUCGCCAAACUACUGCCAUAUAUACAACUGGGGCUUAAAUCUGAACUUCUGGAUUACAAGGCUGCCAGUUACAUGAUCAUAUGCCAGCUGGCAGUAAAGGUAGUGAUGGAAGCUCAGCUGGUGGACUCUCUGACUGUGCAGUUAAGCAAGUCUCUCAGAGGAACACCACAGCUGGCCAGAGAGGGAUUGAGCUGCAUCAUUAUCCUCCUGCAGAACCAGAAAGAGCAAGCAGUUGGUCCAAAAGCAUUUGGGAACCUGUGUUCUGUGCCUACCCUGGUGUCCACCCUGCAGAGUAUAGCUACAGUCCAUGACAUCAGUCCUCUACUGCGAUACUUGCUGCCUCAUCUCAUUCACUCUGUCAUCAACCAGGAUGGUGAGCAGCAGAAUGAAGAUUCUUCAGGAAUUGUUGCUGGAAACCGCUGUUGUCUGUUAAAAUCAGUCUUUCAGAACCUUCAGUUGACCAGCAGCCUGGAGAAAACUGCAGCCAAACUACUUCUGGAUGAGUAUGUUUCCUGUGGCAGGGAGCUUUCCUCUGAUGGGAUUUCAGCUUUAAACCUAAGGCUGCAGUCUACCAUACGACUCUUUGAAUCCAGGUAUCCAUGUGCACUGGAUGUGGCACUGGAGAAUCAUGUUAAAAAUGUCUCAUCCGACCAUGAAAAAAGUCUGCUUCACAAGUUCAUCUCCCUGACUAUGAGCUGUGGAAAAUAUCAAAUCCUGGCAGAGUCGGACACCUCUCUGAUGCUAAGCCUGAAUCAUCCAUUACCCUCUGUGAGAAACAUGGCUGUAGACUACCUAAAAGAGAUCCUCACCUCUGAACAUAGUGGCAUUGAUGAGGCAUUUGUAAAGGAAGCGUUGCUGGAGAGAAUAAAAGAUGAUGUUCCAGAGAUUGUGCUCUCUGCCAUUACAGCACUGGAGAUGCUCAUAGGCCGUAUGGAUUCAGAGGAAAUUGUUCCCUGCUUUAUUUCACUCCUCCAUCGCAUCCAACCAUCAGCAGAGUGGUGUUCUGUGCUAAAAGAGGCCGUUCGAGUUAUCACUGACCCGUGUGUCACUGAGGGAAACCCAGAUCUGAAGGCUCGAAUAUGUUUGGAGCUCCUGCCCUUCCUAGUGGUUACCAGCACUGUGCCAGAGUGUGUGGACCUGCAGCUGGCAUAUUGUGUUGCUGAAACCACUCUGCUCUCUCAGUAUUCUCUAACUCGUGGAUGGGCUAAAGUGCUGAAAGAUGUUCUGGCCAAAACCUCUCCGUCAGAUAUGCUGGGUGUGGCCAAUCAAAUGCUCACAACCACUCUCAUCAAGAAUAUAGCCAACAUGGAUCAUGCAACAAAACGCAACACUGUAAAUAAUGUGUGUGAUAUGUUUAGUCGUCAGAGCAGCGGUGUGCGGGAGAGAGCGGUGUUUGUGGUGUUCAGUAAUGCAUUGCUUCAGAGUCUGCAGUCAAUGACAGAGAGUCAACACCUGCACACAGCUCAGAGCGUUUUUAAACUGCUGGAGCCUUCUCUGCUACAGCUGUACACUAUACAACCUGAACAGGUUUUUAAUGAGGCUGUAGAGGUAUGUGUGCCGGUGUUUGUGGGUUUGGGUGAGUUCCUGCAGAAGAUGAGCUCUGGUCUGAGUGCUGAAAGGGAACACAGUCUCCUGCUGCUGUCACUGCUGAGGCUUUUCAUCAAUGUACUCAAAUGCCCAGACUCAACAUCUAAAGAGUUGUGGUGGAACCCAGAGAAGAUAGACACUAACACCUGCUGUUACCUGCAUCUUCUGUGUCGUCUGUUUGAUGUGGUGAUAUCAGGGGCCAGUCAAGGGCCCUUGGCCCCCUGCUUCAGAAGUCUCAUCCGGCCUCUGUUACAGGUGCACCUCAGUGAUCCGAUGACCCUGUUUAAGUUCCUCUCUCUCUUAUGGGGCUACAACAGUAAUUUGGGUGAUCAGCUGGAUUGUCGAGUCAAUGCCAUACUGCAAACUCAGGCUCUAUAUGUAGGAAAGGCUUUGCUUUCCAGCCAGCCAAUAAAAACCCUCAACCUACUAGCAUCAGGUUCCUCACCAGUGGUGCCAUCGUUGCUGGUGUGUCUGUGUUCAGGCAUAUGUGAGGUUCGGAAAGCUGCCAUCGCUGUGCUCCAAACUCUUUCAGGGGUUGUUUCUUCACCAUACCAUCCGCUGGUGGAGAACCUCCUCAGAUCAAGUGAUGAGAUCAUCGCUGACCCCUCAUAUCUCAGUCAGGCGCUGUCCAAGCUUUAUGAAGAGGCAAUAUCAGGGAAAGAGAAGAAGAAAAAGCUGUUGUCGAUCGAGCAGCUCCUGCAGUGUGUGAAGUUACCCUGCUGCCCUGCAUACACCUCCAAAACAUUGCUGAGGGCACUUCAGGACGUGCAUGGAGAGCCCAUUUUGGCUGUUCUUCUCCCUGCUGUGGAACGUCUUCUUGAGCAGUGUGCUCCAGACACUGGCACCUUCCUGCCUGAUGAUGCUCUCCUCCUUCAGCUGCUGAUGAGCAAGUUCACUGACAAGUCUGCACCUUUACUGGUCAAAGACCCCCUAUGCCUGGAGGUCUUCAUCAGAGCACUGCACACCUCAGCCAAGCCGUACCCUACUAUGCCUAGUUUCCAGAUUAUUGCGCUCGAGCAGAUCACCAAGCCCUUCUUCUCUGCUCUUGGAGAUAAGAAAGUUCAGCAGAGGAUUCUUGCUGUUCUGUUUGAUUUACUGGUGGGGAACAAAAACCCUGUCUGUGCCCAAUCUAUCAACAGUGUUUUUAAAGCGAUUGCUGUGGAUGCAGAGUUAGUGGCCAAUGAGUUGACGCCUGCAGAUAAACACAGAGUUGCAGCUACAGUUCAACAAGCACGUAGGAGUAAACUACAGCAGAGAAAAACACAAGAAACAUGUGUGGCAGUGCCAGAGGAUAGCAGUGUCUCUUGGCCGAGGGUUACGCUAAUUUUAGAGCUGCUUCAACACAAGAAGAAGCUAAAGAGAGCUCAGUAUCUUGUGCCUGCUCUAUUUAAUCUACUCUCCAGAUGUCUGGAGCCUGCCGCAGCUGAGCAGGAGAAUCUAGAGUACACUAAACAACUGCUCCUCGGCUGCCUCCUCAACAUCUGCCAGAAAAUCUCUCCUGAUGGAGGACCCGUUAGCAAAGAUGUGUUGGAGGAGGACAAAUUUAACGUGGAGCUGGUGGUGCAAUGCGUCAGAACAUCAGACAUGCCCCAGACUCACCAUCAUGCCCUUCUGCUGCUCGGGGCCCUGGCAGGCAUCUUCCCUGAGAAGGUUCUUCACAACAUCAUGCCCAUCUUCACUUUCAUGGGUGCCAACAUUAUGCGACUGGAUGAUACAUACAGUUUCCAGGUCAUCAACAAGACUGUACAGGCAGUCAUCCCUGCUCUUAUAAAGGCGCAUAAGGGUGGCAGUGUCCAGUCAGAGGGUUAUAUGGAGACUGUGGUGACUCGUAUCGUACAUGUGUUUGUUGAUGCCCUGCCUCAUGUCCCCGAGCACAGGCGCUUGCCCAUUCUCAGUCAGCUGCUUGACACGCUGGACCCUUCCCGCUUCCUCUGGGUCCUGAUGCUUCUCCUGUUCAAACAGCAUGUCACACAAACUUCUGUCAAUGCAACUGGAGCUGAGAAGGAGUCAGUUGUGGAGAGGGAUCAGGAUUUCUGGAUCUCAGUUUGUUGUGAGUUUGAGGUGAAGGAACAGCUCACUUCUCUCAUCAAGAUCAUACAGUAUCUCAUGACUCUACCACAGGAUAGUGAAGAAGUUCCUGAGAAAAAGAGGACUCAAGGGAGAAGCGGAGUGAAGAAGGAAGAGACCAUCUCUGAUCUGAUAUUCAGUGUGGACAUUCACAGUGGCAAAGAACUCCGGCACUUUAAAUUCCUCUCCAUCUCUUUCAUGGCUCAGUUACUGGCCUCUGACAGUUUUGUUGGAAAGGUGGCCGACUAUGAGGACCUAACAGAAAGCACCUUACAGAAUCUUCAGCAGAAUCUACUGGAAGAGGUUCUACGCUACAUUCAUGCAGUUGCUCGAUGUGUGGAAGAUAACUCGGACAAACCCACAGCCAAGUUCUGGAGAGCUCUGCUCAGCAAGACCUAUGACACCUUGGACAAGGUAAAUGCCCUGCUACCCAUGGGCACCUUCAUCACAGUAAUGAAAGGGCUGUUGGGUAAUCAGUUGGCAUCAGUAAGGAGGAAGGCCAUGGAGCUGCUCAAUAACAGACUACAUCAGAGGACACAGUGGCAAGAGGAAGAGGUAAUUGUGCUGCUUGAGCUCAUUGAUGACCUCUUGAGCAUUGUGGGUCGUGGUCACGGUCAGUUCACUGCACAGGAAGAGGAAGAACAGGCUAUCAAUCGACAGACAGCGCUUUAUAGUCUCAAACUACUGUGCCGCAGUUUCAGCUCCAGCCACCAGGAGGCGUUUGUUCCGGUGCUGAAUAAAGCCGUUGAGCUGGUUGCUAAUAAAGAUGAGGAGAAGAACGUCAUGGGCAGUGCCCUGCUGUGUUUGGCUGAAGUGACCAGCACACUGAAGGCCCUCGCUAUACCACAGUUACACAGGCUGAUGCCUGCAGUAUUGAACACACUGAAAGAGAGGAAAGAUCUGUUGACCAAUGAGAUCUACCUGCUGAGUGCUGUCACUGCGCUACAGCGAGUGUCAGAGACACUACCACACUUCAUCAGCCCCUACCUGCACGACACCAUCUCACAGGUGACCCGUUUAACUCUGCUAGCCGAGCGACUGACGUCUUGUCCUCAGCUUACUGUGCGUCUUGCAUCUCUCAGCUCCACUCUUGCCACUAAAGUGCCCUCCAGGGUCCUUAUUACCACCAUCACUAAAUGCUACAGCAGCAUGGUGGACACACAACAGAAACGCCUUGGUCCUCUGAUGAGUAUUCUGAAGGAACACAUCGCUCACAUGGAGAAAGAGCAACUUAGCAACCACCAAUCAGAACUCACUUCCUUCUUCCUCUCUGCUCUCGACUUCCGUGCACAACACUGUCAGGGUGAUUUGAAGAAGACAGGUGAGGUUGAGGGUCAUGUGAUCGACUGUCUGCUAGUGAUGGUCAUGAAACUUUCAGAAGUCACCUUCAGACCGCUCUUCUUCAAGUUCUUUGACUGGUCAAAGAUGGAUGGAGCUUCUAAAGAGCGUCUGUUGACCUUCUACAGACUGGCAGACCAUAUCGCUGACAAACUCAAAGGACUGUUUGUGUUGUUUGCUGGACAGCUCGUCAAACCCUUUUCUGAUUUGCUUCGUCAAAUCAACGUUGCCCACACAGAUGAAGCCUUCUUUGAUCCUGAUUCAGAUGAUGAGGAUGAUGAUAAUGUGAGGAAGAGCAGUCUGCUGCUGCAGUAUGUGUUGGACUGCCUCCACAAGAUCUUCCUCUAUGAUACUCAGCGCUUCCUCAGUAAAGAGAGGGCUGAUGCUCUGUUGGGCCCCCUGGUUGAUCAGCUGGAGAACAUGUUGGGAGGAGAGGUGACCUACAAGACCCACAUCACCAAACAUCUGGUGCCUUGUAUCGCACAGUUUGCUGUUGCCAUGGGAGACGAUUCUCAGUGGAAAAUUCUCAAUUAUCAGAUUCUGCUGAAGACUCGUCACAGCUCACCAAAGGUGCGUUUUUCAGCACUGGUCAUGUUGCUGGAGUUGGCCAGCAAGCUGAAGGAGAACUACAUGGUUCUGCUGCCAGAGACCAUCCCAUUCCUGGCUGAACUCAUGGAGGAUGAGUGUGAAGAAGUUGAACAGCAAGUGCAGAAGGUCAUUCAGGAGAUGGAGACUAUCCUCGGUGAACCACUGCAGAGCUACUUUUAAUCCCACCUGAGACCAACAUAACUGAUCUUUGACCAUCAGAGAUGCUACUGAUACCCUAUUCAGUGUGCAUUCACUUAUUUACUCAUUAACUCUUUUUGCUGGAACAUGCGUCAUUCUGCAGUUCCAGCGGCACGCCUCAUCACUGAUUGACUGCUUGACCUCUGGGUUACUAUCCUACUGAUUUGCCUGAUGAUAUCACAACAUUAAACACCACAGAUCUGAGCAAUAUCCAGAUGACACAGGCUUUGACUCUAAGGUUAUAUAAAAAUGGCAUGUAUGAUGUUUAAAUGUCUUUAGUGUUUUUAGAAAUUAAAAAUGUUAUGACAAUGAAUGACAUUUUGUAAUGCAUACUGAUGUAUUUUUCUGGAAGUCUAUGAAUAUCAGUAAAAAAGAUGAAUCUGGAAAAUGUGAAUUUGUUUGAUAAAAAGAAAAAGGGGUUUCAAAUCAACAUGAAAUUAAUAUUGUCCCUAUUUGCUUGCCUUUAAUACAUGUUCCUGGUCUUAUUGUGAAAAAUGUAUCAGUGCAUAAUCUUCAUAAUAUUUCAUCCAAAUGUAAUUAUUUUUAGUUUUUUCAGCUGAUGUCAGCAAGUCUCUUAUUUCUCAACUCCAGUCCUGUCAUACCUUUUCUCUUUUGUUUUCAUUAAAUAUCCUGUUUCACUCGGAAAUAAAUCCGAAUACGGAAGUAAACUCAGUUGUGAACGCCAUUUUAUGUUGACUUGUAAGAAGAAUAAGAAAAAAAAAAAGUUUUGUUUUACAUUAUGCUUGCCUAAACAAAGCACACGUUCGCAAUCCAAAACGAACGCAGAGCACAUUUGUGUUAGGAGCACAAGACAAUUGUGGAACGUGCACAGAACCGCUCUAGUCCGCUUACUACGAGGCUGAAUCCAGCUAAUUCGCAGCUUCUUAUUGACGCUAUACGGUAAAAGACGCGACGCUUCCGCGUUUGCCAGCUUCGCAGUCACGCUCGUCUUAAAGGGGCCGUGCCGCUUUUCCACCCGUUUUAAACGAAUAAAACUUUUAUCGCAUAAUAUGCUGUGGUUUGACAGAUAAUGCAAUGUACUAUCAAAAUAAAUAGAAACAUGAGAUGCAUUCUUUAAUUUUGGACCACAUGAAGCUGUGGUGUGAUAGAAAAGGUAAUGGACUGUCACAAGGAGGCACAUUUUAUUACAGCGUUCUUUACAUGUGAACUUUAUAAGCGUGUGAAUUGUCAAAUUCGUUUAAAAAGUAUGUGAUAAAUCAAAUCAAAAUCUCAAUUUGAACAAUUAGGGGCUCUUCCUCAGUCAUCUCUAAGGAUAAGUUAAAACAGACAAGGCGAAUGAUAACCAGAACCCCUGGACAAUCACCAUGCAAAGUUUCAAACAUUUUUACUGUGGCGUUACUACGUUAUUCACCCGUGAACAUGGCAUAUUAACGAGAUGAAUGAGAUUAUAAAGGGCCCAUUUUGGAGAGGCUCCCUCUCAGUCGUCUUUAAGGAUGAUGACAGAGCUAUCCCAUUAAGAAAAAAAGAGGUCAAAACCUUUUCCACCCAAAUACCAACGAGAACUGCCAAGAUCACCUGAUUUAUUCUCAGAGGAGUCAUUACCAGAGUCCUCACUGACAAAUCUCAGCUGCCUCCGUGUCUGAGACCGUCAAUCCGUGCAUCUUAUCACGUGGCUUGUUGAGCACAUUACCACGGAGACAUAGUGCAUGUGGAGGCUUCACGCUAUUCUCUGUGGCAUCCACGCACAACUCGCCACGCCCCCACCGAGAGCAAACCACAUUAUAGCGACCACGAGGAGGUUACCCCAUGUGACUCUACCCUCCCUAGCAACUGGGCCAAUUUGGUUGCUUAGGAGACCUGGCUGGAGUCACUCAGCAUGCCCUGGAUUCGAACUCGUAACUUCAGGGGUGGUAGUCAGCGUCUUUUCUCGCUGAGCUACCCAGGCCCCUAAAAAGUAUUCUUAUCUUAGUUUUCUAUAAGAUUUAACAAAGGUUUAACUUCAAGAAACUACGUAUAUAGCGUACAAACACAAAACAUUUGUCCAAAGUCCCGAAGCGCCCCUUAAUACCCUCUUCCACAGCGACAUCUAGCGGUGAAUAAAAGUAGAACCAAAACUGUACUAUUACAGUAUUAAACUAUUACUAAACUGUAGUAUUUUAACAAAUAAGAAGUGUUAUUAUUAUUAUUAUUAACAAAACCAUAAAGUAACAUCUUCACAUAAUCAGUUUCAGCAAUAGGCCUACAUUUCAUUUACAGUUUUUGUAAUCGCAUGUAAUUUUGAUGUUGAUACUUUACAAACAUAAUUCCCAGACCAGUUGAAUAGGUAAACUAAAUGAUUGGUUGAUUUACACCCAAGAGCAGUUUAAAUAAUAAAAUUAAAUAAUGAUAGUUAAAUGAACUAAAAUAAAUAAAAACAUUGCUUUUGAAUUAAUUAGUCUUAAUAGUGAUAGUAUUUGACUAACUGGGGCCCAGGUCAGGAAGCAGACAAACUGGCUAAUCCAAACAUCUGCUAGCUGCCUUGAGAAGUCACACAGGUCACAUAAACUACAACACAUAGAGACUGUAUCACCUAGAUAUCAUAUAGAGACUGUGUCUGUUCCUCGAACUACCAAACACAAAACCCUCAGUAAAUCAUUUAGAUUUUUUUUUAAUUAAGGUCAAACUUGGAAAAAAACAAAAAACUGAAGAUAAACACAUAAAGAUAGGGCUACUAAACAUUAGAUCUCUUUCAACCAAAGCACUAAUUGUAAAUGAAAUUAUUACAGAUCAUAGUUUGGAUGUGCUCUGUUUGACUGAAACCUGGCUUAAACCGAAUAAAUAUAUUAGUUUAAAUGAAACUACUCCCCCAGGUUAUUGUUAUAAAAAUGAGCCUUGUCUAAAGGAUCGAGGAGGAGGUGUUGCUACAAUUACAGUGGUGUUUUUGGUGUUACUCAGAGGACAGGAUAUAAGUUUAAGUCUUUUGAACUAAUAAUGCUUAAUGUAACACCAUCAGAUAUAAAUCAAUCUCUACAUUUAGAUUUGCAACAACUAUUGGGCCAGUUUCUUUGUAAAAUCCCGGGCCGAAUUUUCUUCCAAGUCCGCCCCUGCUACAGUAUAUAGAUCACCUGGGCCUUAUUCUGAUUUUCUUGGUGAAUCUGCAAAUUUUCUAUGAAAUCUAGUAGUUACUGUAGAUAGAGCUUUAAUUGUUGGUGACUUCAACAUUCACACAGAUAAUUAAAAUAACACAUUGGGAUUAGCAUUUAUCAAUAUUCUUAAUGUGCUUGGAGUCAGACAAAAUGUGACAGGACCAACUCAUCACCAUAAUGAUACGCUAGAUUUAAUUCUGUCAUAUGGAGUUGAUGUUGAUACCAUAGAAAUUCUACCGCAGAGCGAUGACAUCUCAGAUCAUUACAACGUCUCUUGUAUGCUGCGAUCAGCUAAUGUUACUCAAUCUACACCACACUAUCGUUCAUGUAGAACAAUUCUUUUGACCACUAAAGAUAGCUUCACUAAUAAUCUUCCAGAUCUAUCUCAUAUUUUUGGUGUUACUCAGAGGACAGGAUAUAAGUUUAAGUCUUUUGAACUAAUAAUGCUUAAUGUAAAACCAUCAGAUAUAAACAAAUAUCUACAUUUAGAUUUGCAACAACUAUUGGGCCAGUUUCUUUGUAAAAUCCCGGGCUGAAUUUUCUUCCCAGUCUGCCCCUGCUACAGUAUAUUGUCAGAGUUUUCUGCUUUAAUGUUUUAUUUUGGCCACUAGAGGCCCUCAUUGUAUUUCUUUUCAGUUUCCUACCAUUUUAUCAUGUGUUAUUGUUUUCACCUGUGCCUUGUUCUGGACUGUGUAUUUAAGUUGUUCACUUCCUUUGUUUCUUUGCUUGGUUAUUGAUGUUCCUAGCCAGUUACUGCCGUAAGUUUGUUCUAGUUCCAAGUACUUAAACUUUGUAAGCCUUUUGGUUUGUUCUUUUCUCGUGUUUAUUUUUUGCUGUUUUUUGAUAUCUUUUUCCUGAGUUUUUUGGAGAUUAUUUUUCCUCCUUUCAGAUCCUUUUUUGGACUAAAGAUUUUUCUGUUUUUUGUGAUUGUCAGUAAGAAAUUGCUUUCUGUACUCUUUUGCUAUUUUUGUUAAUAAACUCUUCUGAGUUCUUUUAAGAGCACGUCUGACUAUUGGGUUCAACUCCCUUCUGUGACUCAGUGGUAGUAAUUAAGACUCUUGCGCCAGAGACCCAAGUUUGAUUCCUGGCUCUGACAGAAUAACCAAGCCACACUAUGAACCCAGAGAUGCCUAACGCUCAAGAACUCCUGGCCACAAUUGCUCAGCAGCAGUCCACAAUCCAAUGCCAUGAGUCAGCACUAGUCCAGCAGGAGACUGUGAUGGCUAAACACUCAUAAGUGCUGUUGGAUCUCAUGAUUUCUGUUCGUCAGAUCCUGGACCGGCUGCUCUCUACUUCAGCUACUGCUGCCUCGGUACCCCUUCCGGAUUCUCGAGUACUCUCUCCCCUGAUUGAACCUUGCCUACCUCCACCGCAACAUUUCUCAGGUGAUCCCAGUGCAUGUGAUGGUUCCUGACUCAAUGCUCUCUCACAUUUGAAUUACAACCAUCGUCCUUCCCCUCAGAUCGGGCCAAGAUCGCAUAUGUUAUUACCCUCCUUUCUGGCAAGGCUCUUUCUUGGGCAACAGCAGUCUGGAAGGCACAGGCACCCUUCUGUUCCAGUUAUUCUGUGUUUGAAAAGGAGUUCAAGCGAGUCUUUGACCACCCCCUCAGUGGCCGGCAAGCCUCUAAGAGACUUCUCACCCUCCAACAAGGUAAUGGCAGCGCGGCUGAAUAUGCCAUACAGUUUCGGACAGUUGCAGCAGGGAGCAGCUGGAACGACGAGGCCCUCAUGGUGUGCUUCCUGAAUGGUCUGUCUGAGGCAAUCAAGGAUGAUAUGGCUACCAGAGAACCUGCUCGUGAUCUCGAGACCCUCAUGGAUCAAGCAAUCUGGCUGGAUAAUCGCCUGAGGGAGAGAAGCCUGAACCGGCCAUCUGUUUCCACAUUGUCUGCCAGUCCAGCACUUGCUCCAAUGCUACCAGUGCCCCACGAGUCCUCGGAACCCAUGCAAUUGGGAAGGACUAGGCUUUCCCCAUCAGAACGAGACCGUCGCAUGAGAGAACGCUGUUGUCUAUAUUGUGGAGUGUAUGGUCAUUUUCACUCUGGCUGCACCGAACUUUCAGGAAACGCCCAGUCCCGUAUAGGCAAGGAAGGACUGUAACGGGAGUUACACGCACAGCUUUACCUUCCAACUCUGGAUUGUUCCUUCCCAUCACACUCACUUAGGGAGAUCAAAAACACCAACUCUGGGCAUUGAUUAAUUCUGGUGCUGCCGGGAAUUUCAUGGAUAUUUCCCUCACCAAGAGUCUCCAGAUUCCUAUUAAUUCCCUUCCUGCCCCCCUAACUGCGACAGCCUUGGAUGGAAGACCGUUAGCUCCAGGGAAAAUAACCCACCUCACCUCUCUCCUUGGUCUCAUCACUUACCAGCACCAGGAGAGAAUGUGCUUUCACCUUAUACAGACUCCAGAGUUUCCUAUUAUCCUCAGUCACCCCUGGCUCCUCCAGCAUAACCCACACUUUGACUGGUCCACUGGCGCUGUUCUCAGUUGGGGUCCCACCUGUCAGACUACAUGCUUGGCCCAGAAUUCCCCUGAUCUUGUUCUCGAGUCCCAAGAAACCCUAGAUCUGUCUCAAGUCCCUGCUCAGUACCACCACCUCAAGGCAGUGUUCAGCAAAAGGAAGGCCACCUCCUUACCUCCUCAUCGCCCCUAUGAUUGUGCCAUUGAGCUGCUCCCAGGAACCUGCCCCCCCAGAGGUCGUAUAUUCUCUUUGUCUCCCCCUGAACGAACUGCUAUGGACAAAUACAUUAACGAAUCCCUUGCGGCAGGUAUUAUCCAACCAUCCACUUCCCCUGCUGAAGCUGGAUUCUUUUUCGUUGGGAAGAAGGAUGGCGGACUCCGGCCAUGUAUUGAGUACAGGGGCCUUAAUAAGAUCACUGUUCGAAACCGCUAUCCCUUGCCAUUAAUGACCACUGCUUUCGAAAUUCUGCAAGAAGCCUCCAUCUUCACUAAGCUUGACUUGCACAAUGCCUACCAUCUCGUGUGCAUCAGGCAAGGAGAUGAAUGGAAGACCACCUUCAACAUGCCCACUGGGCACUAUGAAUAUUUGGUUAUGCCCUUCGGUCUCACCAAUGCUCCUGCAGUAUUUCAAGCUCUCAUUAAUGAUGGUCUCAGAGACAUGCUCAACCAAUUUGUGUUUGUCUACUUGGACGAUAUCCUCAUCUUCUUGAGUUCCCUCCAAGAACAUGUAAAACACGUCAGUAAGGUUCUCAGACGUCUUCUUGAUAACCAUCUUUAUGUUAAACCUGAGAAAUGCGAGUUCCAUGUGACCAAAGUUCAGUUACUGUGGUUCAUUAUCAAGCCUGGCCAGAUAAAAUGGACCCUCAAAAGGUUCAAGCAGUUGUGGAUUGGCCCUCCCCCUCAUCGUUAAAGGAAGUACAGCGUUUCCUUGGUUUUGCCAAUUUUUAUCGCAAGUUCAUCCGGAACUUCAGUACUGUGGCGGCUCCUUUAUCUGCCCUCACCAAGGGGAACACAACCAGCUUCAAUUAGGGACAUGAAGCAGAGUUGGCCUUCAGCAAACUCAAAAGCCAUAUUACCUCUGCACCUAUUCUCAUUCUCCCUAACCCAGAUAAACCCUUCAUCGUGGAGGUCGAUGCUUCGGAUGUAGGGGUUGGAGCUGUGCUGUCCCAAAGAGGGGAGGACAACAAGUUGCAUCCAUGUGCAUUCCUUUCCCACUGCCUUACACCGACUGAGACGAACUAUCAUGUUAGGGAUCGAGAGUUACUGGCAGUUAAGCUAGCGCUUGAAGAGUGGAGGCAUUGGCUUGAGGGGGCCAAACACCCAUUCCAAGUAUUCAUGGACCACAAAAAUCUGGAAUACAUUCAGCAGGCAAAGCGACUCAACCCCCGCCAGGCACGUUGGUCCUUAUUCUUCAACCGUUUCCAGUUCAUCUUAUCCUACCGCCCCGGCUCUAAAAACCUAAAACCUGAUGCUUUAUCCUGAGUAUAUGUAAACACUCCUCAGGAAGAUUCUAUUGCAUCAAUUAUUCCCAGUUCCAAGAUAAUAGCUCCUAUCAGGUGGGAUCUGGAAUAUACUGUAAAACAAGCCCAAGCCCGAGAACCUGACCCAGGAGGGGGGCCAACCCACUGCCUGUUUGUCCCUAAAGCUGUCCGCUCCCAGAUCCUCCAGUGGGGACACUCCUCUCGUCUCACUUGUCAUCCUGGUACCUCUCACACUCUUGAGUUCCUCCAAAGACGAUUUUCGUGGCCAACUAUCAAGGAGGAUGUGACAACAUUUGUAAAUGCAUGUCCCACGUGCAACCAAAAUAAGGUCCCUCACUGCUCUCCACAGGGGCUAUUGCAUCCUCUCUCCAUACCUCAUAGACCUUGGUCUCAUCUUUCUAUGGAUUUUAUCACUGGACUUCCACUAUCACGAGGCAACACCACUAUCAUGGUCAUAGUUGACAGAUUCUCCAAGGCCACCCGAUUCAUUCCUCUGCCCAAACUACCCAUCGCUAAAGAAACUGCUGAAUUGAUUAUAAACCACAUCUUCCGAGUCUUUGGCAUCCCACAAGACAUCAUCUCUGAUCGAGGACCCCAAUUUUCCUCCCGAUUCUGGCGGGCAUUUUGUCAAUCUCUGGGGGCUACAAUGAGUCUAUCUUCUGGGUUCCACCCGGAGUCCAAUGGGCAAAUGGAGAGGCUUAACCAGGAUCUUGAGACUACACUGAGGUGUAUGGCAGCUAACAACCCGUCCUCUUGGUCUUCCUUCGUCAUGUGGGCAGAAUACGCUCACAAUACCCUUCGCUCCUCAACUACAGGCAUGUCCCCUUUCGAGUGCCAGUUGGGAUACACCCCUCCUCUAUUCCCUGAGCAAGAAGUGGAGGUUGCAGUUCCCUCUGCUCAACAGUUCGUUAAACGUUACCGCCAGACAUGGAAAAAAGCCUGACUCAAGCUCUUGAAGGUCUCUCAGCAGUAUCAGCACCAGGCCAAUCGUAGACGCAGAUCUGCCCCCACUCUGUGCCCCGGCCAAAGAGUCUGGCUCUCCACCAAGAACAUUCCCUUGCGGGUCGAAUCCCGUAAACUUUCCCAGAGGUUCAUUGGCCCCUUCAGGAUUGCCAGGAAAGUAAACCCAGUUACUUACGUUUAUAUUUGCCUAGGUCUUUGAAGAUAAAUCCCACUUUUCAUGUCUCACUGUUAAAACCUGUUUUGUCUUCUCCUUUUCUUGCGACAGGUAAACCUCCCCCUCCUCGUAUCAUUGGUGGCCAGCCAGCCUACACAGUCCACAGAAUACUGGAUGCCCGUCGAGUACGUGGGUCCCGGCAGUAUCUCGUGGACUGGGAAGGAUAUGGCCCUGAGGAGCGCUCCUGGGUUCCUGCCAAGGACAUCUUGGACCCCAAACUAAUUCAAGAAUUUCAUGCUCGCAAGUCCUGUCGUCCAGGAGGGAACGUCAGGAGCCGUUCCUAGAGGGAGGGGUCCUGUCAGAGUUUUCUGCUUUAAUGUUUUAUUUUGGCCACUAGAGGCCCUCAUUGUAUUUCUUUUCAGUUUCCCGCCAUUUUAUCAUGUGUUAUUGUUUUCACCUGUGCCUCGUUCUGGACUGUGUAUUUAAGUUGUUCACUUCCUUUGUUUCUUUGCUUGGUUAUUGAUGUUCCUAGCCAGUUACUGCCGUAAGUUUGUUCUAGUUCCAAGUACUAAACUUUGUAAGCCUUUUGGUUUGUUCUUUUCCCAUGUUUAUUUUUUGCUGUUUUUUUUAUAUCUUUUUCCUCCUUUCAGAUCCUUUUUUGGACUAAAGAUUUUUCUGUUUUUUGUGAUUGUCAGUAAGAAAUUGCUUUUUGUACUCUUUUGCUAUUUUUAGAAAUUAAGACUCUUGCGCCAGAGACCCAAGUUCGAUUCCCGGCUCUGACAGUAUAUAAAUCACCUGGGCCUUAUUCUGAUUUUCUUGGUGAAUCUGCAAAUUUUCUAUCAGAUCAAGUAGUUACUGUAGACAGAGCUUUAAUUGUUGGUGACUUCAACAUUCACACAGAUAAUGAAAAUUACACAUUGGGAUUAGCAUUUAUCAAUAUUCUUAAUGCGCUUGGAGUCAGACAAAAUGUGACAGGACCAACUCAUCACCAUAAUGAUACGCUAGAUUUAAUUCUGUCAUAUGGAGUUGAUGUUGAUACUAUAGAAAUUCUACCGCAGAUCGAUGACAUCUCAGAUCAUUACCUCGUCUCUUGUAUGCUGCGAUCAGCUAAUGUUACUCAAUCUACACCACACUAUCGUUCAUGUAGAACAAUUCUUUUGACCACUAAAGAUAGCUUCACUAAUAAUCUUCCAGAUCUAUCUCAUAUACUCAGUAAGCCCCAAAGUCUAGAAGAACUUAAUGAAAUAACAGAAAAUAUAAAUACAGUCUUCUCUAGCACUCCUGAUAGUGUCGCCCCCCUUCGAUAUAAGAAAUUAAAGAAAAAAGUCCCGCACCAUGGUACAAUAAUCACACUCAUGCUCUCAAGAGAGAAGCUUGGAAAAUGGAGUGCAAGUGGAAGAAUACAAAAUUAGAGGUAUUUCGCAGUGCAUGGAAGGAUAGUGUCUGUAGCUACAAACAUGCACUAAAAGCUGGUCAGCAUAUUUAAACAAAGUCAUAGAAAAUAACCACAACAAUCCUAGGUGUUUAUUCAGUACUGUGGCAAAAUUGAUUAGGAAUAAAGCCUCAACUGAACAAGAUAUUCCGUUGCAGCACAAUAGUAAUGACUUCAUGAAUUUCUUUACUGAUAAAAUUGAAAUAAUCAAAUAAAAUUGGAUUUAUGCAAUCAUCUGUCACAGUACCUCAAAAAACAGUGUAUCAUAAUUUUCCUCACGUGCAACUUCAAUCCUUCGCUGUCAUAGGUCAUGAAGAGCUAACUAAACUUAUCGAAACAUCAAAAGCCACAACAUGUGUUACUGUAGAUCCAAUACUAACUAAGCUCUUAAAAGAGGUAUUUCCUGUAAUCUCAGAACCUCUUCUUAAUAUUAUUAACUCCUCGCUAUCCUUAGGACAUGUCCCAAGAAACAUUAAAAUGGCAGUUAUCAAACUGCUUAUUAAGAAACCACAUCUUAAUCCUGGAGAAUUGGCUACUUACAGACCGAUUUCAAAUCUCCUGUUUAUUUCGAAAAUACUAGAAAAGGUCGUGUCCUCCCAAUUAUGUUAAUUUCUACAGAGAAAUAGUAUAUAUGAACAAUUUCAGUCAGAAUUUAGGCCACACCACAGUACAAAGACUCACUUAUCAGAGUCACUAAUGACUUGCUCUUAUCAUCUGAUCGCGGCUGCAUUUCUCUUCUAGUGCUUUUAGAUCUUAGUGCUGCCUUCGACACAAUGGAUCAUGAUAUUCUCUUGAAUCGGCUAGCGAAUUAUGUUGGCAUUUGUGGACUUGCAUUAGCAUGGUUUAGGUCCUAUUUAGCAGACCGCUACCACUUUGUCUGUGUAAACGAGGAAUUGUCAAAUUAAACAAAAGUUAAGUAUAGAGUGCCACAGGGAUUAGUUUUAGGAGCUUUUCUCCUUAUAUUUGCUUCCCCUGGGAGAUAUUAUCAGGAAUUAUGGAAUAAGUUUCCACUGUUAUGCCGACGAUACCCAACUUCAUAUUUCUUUGAAACCCAACGAAAUUUCACAAUUCUCCAAAUUAGCAGUGUAUCAAUGAAAUCAAAGAUUGGAUGGCCAAAAAUUCCCUUCUACUUAUUUCCUUCAAAACAGAGUUAAAAACCUCUAAAAAUAAGCCACUAAAAUAUAAUUUGACUCUCGAUGGAUGUACUGUUACAUCAACUUCAACAGCAAAGAACUUAGGUGUUAUAUUUGAUACCACUAUUUCAUUUGAAAAUCAAAUUUCCAAUGUUUGUAGAACAGCAUUAUUCCAUCUAAGAAAUAUUGCUAAGUUACGACACAUGCUCUCUGUUGCUGAUGCCAAAACACUAAUUCAUGCAUUCAUGACCUCAAGACUAGAUUAUUGUAAUGCAUUACUGGAAGGAUGUCUAGCAAGUUCAAUAAAUAAAAUUCAAUUGGUUCAAAAUGCAGCAGCCAGAAUGCUGACUAGAACCAAGAAAUAUGAUCAUAGCCCCAUUUUAUCAUCGUUACAUUGGCUAACUGUUAAAUUACGUAUUCAUUUUUUGUGAUUAAAUUUUUUUAUAGAUUCACACAUAAAACAAAUAAAAAUCUAAACAUAUAUACACAGAAUCAACAUUUAACCCCCACUGCCAACCCUACCCCUACCACUCCCAAUCCCCAACACCACCCCAGCCCACAUCAAACACCCCUGUGGUCACACAUGAACACAUACUAACAAAACAACAACAACAAAAAAAUAUAUAAUAAUCACACACAUUAAUAACUACACCUCUCUCUGCACUGCUCCACCCUAAGAGCCCUCCAAGAAUGCCAAAUAUUUGCCUCAUUUCCCAACAAACAAAUCCAAAUUCCCCAGUCUUUUAGAUGACCGUUCUUUGAAAGCCACAACCCUCCCAAUCUCCAAGCAGCACUCCUGAAAUUGGGGCACUCCAGCCGACUUCCAUCUCCUUAAAUCAACUUGUCUGGCGAUCAUGACACUGGUUAGGACCCAAUUUUUAAAGUGUUUAUUCCCUAUAUUGAUGACUGCCCCAUCGCCUAAAAUACAGAGUCUGGGGCACAAUGAAAUUUGAGUGCCCAAUACGUCACACAUAAAACUCUGGACCUUCAACCAAAAUCCUUGGAUCUUAACACACCACCAACACAUGGGUUGCAUCUCCAUCUCCUGAUUUGCCAGCAGGUGGGUGUGUCUUUAAGACCAAGCCUAUACAAUCUAGAGGGGGUCCAAUAGAAUCGAUGUAAAAUCUUAAAUUGCAUAAGGCGAACCCUUGCAUCUCUAGAUGCAGACUUGACAUUUUUUAGAAUCCUAGCCCACACUCCCUCCUCCAUUACCAAGUUUAAAUCUUUCUCCCAUAAUCUCUGGACAGAAGUUAAAGCUCCUUCCCCUAGACUCUGAAUUAGCAGGGAGUAAUACACCGAUGCCUCAUGACCUUUUCCAAAAGCAGUAAUCACCACUCCCAGAGUAUCUGUCACUUUAGGGGGGUGUAUGUUACUCCCAAAAAUAGUACAGAACAGGUGGCACAGCUGUAAAUACCUGAAGAACUGAGAUCUGGGAAUCCCAAAUUGUUGAACCAAUUUUUCAAAGGAUCUCAACACUCCACUCUCAUAUAGGUCACAGAGUGUAUUAUCCUCCCACACAAUCCACUCUGACCAGCAGAAAGGGGACUUAUUAAUACAUAAUUUUGGGUUCAGCCAUAUGCUCGUGGCAACUUUUAAAUAAAUGUCAGAAUUAAACACACUGGACACUUUUGUCCAUACCGAAUGCAAAUGUGAGAUGACGGGGUAUAACUUAACUUCACUGAUAAAUUUGAUAGAAAGGAUUUGCAAUGGUGAAAUAGGGGCAAGAACGUCAUGGUUACUUGUGUAACCUCCGU